This 573-nucleotide long non-coding RNA is filed under the name Coturnix japonica (Japanese quail). RNAcentral describes it as "lncRNA (ENSCJPG00005002738.1)". Lineage: Eukaryota; Metazoa; Chordata; Aves; Galliformes; Phasianidae. The record is from RNAcentral.
UGGAAGGCAAGGAACCUUCAUUUCAUUUGUAACAAAAAUGAGCUCGUUAACAGCAGAGGAUGCUGGUUCUGCUGACUUGUGGCUUCUGUCCCAAACUGAUCUGGGGGAAAAAAAGAAAAUUUCCUGCCAACUAGAGAAAAUUUCAUUUUGGAAACAACAAACAUUGUAUUCUGUGUUCCCUGGUUCCUGCAGCUUCUCAGUGAAAAUGGCAUUUGACAGCCCUUGUGAUUAUAUAACAGCUCUCAAGAGGAAGCUGCUAACAAGCCCAUCUGAUAUUUUGUGCCAGCUGUUUCAGUGGAGGCGUGUUGGACUAGACUGAACUCCGCCUUCUUUGACAAGCAGAGCAUUUGGAAAGUGACAGAGCGUGAAGAAAAAGGGAAUUCAAAAUCUGGCUGAGUUUUCUCUUGGGCCAGUUUGUUCUUCUAUAUCCACUGACAAGUGGGCUGUUGCAGGAGUUGUUUAGAAGCCCCACCAUUAGCCAGUCUCUCUGCUUGAUGCAGCAACCCCUGCUUAAGAUCCUGUGAGCAUUUUGUGUGCUGUACUUCUCCCUGCAAAGUGAAAACACACUGAGAC